Betta splendens (Siamese fighting fish) is the source of this 6759-nucleotide long non-coding RNA. RefSeq lists it as uncharacterized. The transcript is spliced from 2 exons. The record is from RefSeq and is a predicted model, not a curated record. Lineage: Eukaryota; Metazoa; Chordata; Actinopteri; Anabantiformes; Osphronemidae.
UAUGGCAAAAAUUGUCUCUUCCUUAUUUCUAUGUCUCUUCCUUAUUUCUAUGCAGUUAUUAUACGAGUUAUGACUUAUGUUCUGCAAUUAAUAUCUUAUGUUUUGUCUUACUGUAUGCAUUUGACAUUUCACCUAGAUUGUUCAAUGGUUGUCUCUGCCUGAUAGACUCUCAACUCUAGCUCCCAAACCCAAGGUCGGGGAGUUGUGUCUCUGUCUGUUGAGACUUGGUGCUCCUUUCUCACAGAUAGUUGGACGUCAGCAAUGCAGGUGUGAGAAUGUAAACAUCUUCACACACACUGCGACAGGGAGGAGAUGGUGCAUGUAAUUUGAUUGGGUUAGACAGACAUUCCACCCUAGUCGGACAGAGAAGCUAAAAGGCAGAAGCAACUUGAGGAUCGUGGGCUCUUUGCAUCACACCUUCGUGGUGUGUGCACUGAUCUCCCCAGCUGGUUUUUGGUUUGUUGAUGUGCACGAUCAACAUCCAUGCUUUUUAUUUGCUUUCCCCAUUAUUUUUAUUUUCUUUAUUAUUUCAAUAAAUCGCACAAAAGGACAACUCUCUCUCAUCUACUUCUUUAUGGAAAAUUUCCACCACAGAAAUUGGCGUCACGAACAGGAUCCCGCAGCAGGUCGUCUGGACGGUGUGACCAGGGACGAUAGUCCUGAGGACUAGGGUCGCUCAGCCUCCGAACCUCUACAGACAUUCAGAGCUGGGAGGACUGCUCACCCGUCUGGAUCGCCUCUGACGAGAUCCACGAACUCAGAUUCAAACUCAAAUCCUAAUUUGGUUCGGCUCGGUGAGAGAGAUUCCUUUUAAUUUGGGAAAAAACAUAAAAGAAAACAUAACUAGGACUAGAGAUAAUAAUAUUUCUAAAACGACUAUGUGGCUGAAAAACAUCUAAAAUAUAAUAAUUAGGACCAAACAAUUUUUUUUAAUUAAAAAAUUUUAAUAUUCGGGUAAAAGUUAAUUAGGUCAAAGUCUGCCCUGGUGGUCGAGACGGUGGUUGCUAAGGGUUGGCUCGUGGGACCGAGCUUGUUUUGUCUGUACUGAGGAUACAGACCAGUGUGCAGAUCUGAGCGCAGUCCAAAGGGUGUGGACAAGGAAAUAAAAGACGGCUUCUGUAAGACGGAGCGCGUUUGCAGGGGGAAGUGGUUUUGAGAUACGAGGGACCCGGGUCUUAGAGGGGCCUGACGGUGAGGGACCACUUCCGAGAACCCUGUCGCUGAUCUGAGCGGUUCCCUUUCUACGGAGACGUCCGUGGAAGAGAAAUUUCGAAAAAAGGUUCCGGCCGGAACACAUAAAAAUCUAAGGCAGAAAACCGCCGGGACUCUGAAAGAUGGGUUCGGGGCGAUCUAAGUCUCCACCACCAGACUGCAGCAUUACAAAAGUAAAAGUAAUUAAAAGUAAAAAGUAAAUAUGGUUAUUAGUGCGUUUCAUGUUUCCAUUAGUGGGAAACUGGUUAUGGGUUCAAAAGGAGAAUUACGUAGUGUAAAAGACAUAUGCACCUUUAAAAGAUUUGAAAGAGCAAAACAUCAAAACUAAAGCCCUAAAAGAAACAAAAGAGUGAUGAGAGUAACAGAAAAAAAAAAAAAAAAAAAAAAGGAGAUAACAACUCUGGGGAAGAAUUGUUUGCACUCUGCCACACCACACGCACACCACACACACAUCAUGUCAAGAUCAAAUGCUCCCACUGUUUCUGCUCUCUAUUCUAAUGCAGAACCGAGCGCGUUGAGGGUAAAUCCGGAUCUGGACUCCUUUCCCACCAUCAGCAGAAGAACCGAAGGAGAAGAAGCGCCGACCAACAACCAGAACGGGGUGGAAGCUCUGACACCACAGCAGCUGGAGGACACAGACCACAGCAUGGACGCCUCACAGACUCCCACAACGUCUGCAGCCAUCACGUUCUGGGCUCAUCAGAUGAACCAGCUACUACAGACCCUGCACCAGCAUGAAAGGACUGUGUCUGAAGCUUCAGAGGAAACUGUCUUACAAGCGUGUGUGUCUGACAGACACCUGCUUAUGACAAUCAGCAAAGGAAAACAAGGACAGAGCAACAGCAGAGAAGACGUGCUCUGACACAGACACUGGUUGAAACAACAGGAGAGGCUUCAGACGUGAUCGGCCCAAUAGAGCUGCAUGCGAGGAUCCAGGAAAGGUCUGUCAUCGAGGAACAACUGUCCCAUUGAAAGGCUUCACCCACUGGCGCUCACAUCAGACUGAUGGUUGGGGAAGGAGGAAGGUGACGGUUCCUUUUCACGUGACGUACAAGACGGUACCGCAAACACACACACACAUUCAUACACGCAAUGAAGAAACACGCUUACAGCUGAUACACGCUCAAAUUCAUGUUCAUGCUUAUCUGCUUGCAAUGAAGAAUCGCUUUUUGCUCAAAAAAAAAAUCCCACAGAGUGAUUUUAAAAAUAUGACAAACAGCUAAAUGACAACUGCUGCAUGACUUUACAGUCUGAUGGGUUUAAACUAUUUCAAUUUGCAACAAAUUCAGUAAUAAAAUCCUCCAUGUUUCUAAAAAUACUUGUGCACAAUAUAGGUUUGUCUGGCCAGACUAUAGGAAAACAAAACAGACUGUAGAAAAAACAAAACCAGACCAUAGGAAGACUGAAACCGACUGAAACAGACCAUUAAUGACUAUUAAAGGGAAGACGACUAUUAGAGAGAAGUAAUAAUAAUUACUGUACGUACCAGACUAUUAAAGAAAAACCUAUUCUUUCACUGUCUUGUGCAACAUCUGACAGCAAGACACCGUAACAUUCAUUUUUGCUUUCAAACUUGUGCCCAGUUAAAUUUUUAGGAAGAGAUCUCAUGUAGUUUAGAUAUUUGAUUGAUUUCCACUCCAGACGGAGUGCAGGUUACAUCUACAGACAUUCUAAAUAAUCCCUCUUUUGUUGGUGUUAACUUCAGCUCAGCUGUGCUCUUAUCAUUGGCUGCUGAGGGGGGGCUGUAACUGAGGCCCUCACACAGGCUGCAUCACAGCUUGUUUAUGAUUUCACACACACACAAACUGACCUCAACUUCCCUCUUUUGGGAUGAACACAGGUCUGCGCUUGCGAUUUCUUUUACUAACGAACAAAAAGAUUUUUGAUGUUUAUUCUACAGCUCCACACGUCCCUCUGUGAAAACAUGAUGGAGACAGAUGCAGGACGUGGGUCCUUUCGUGAACAGAUGUCAACGGGGUGGAGACUGGUGAACGACUUCUGACCCCAUAGGACGCUCUGACCCAACACUCAGCCUUACAGGAAGCCCUGCUUCCCUGUGGCUCACACACAGACAUGAUGUAGGUUUGAUCAGAGGAUGUGAACCAGUGGUCAUCACACCUAAAUCUGACCACAGACCAUGUAAACAACAACACCCUCUUAAAGGAGCCAUAGAUGGCGUUACUGCAGACACCACUAAGCUACUGAAACAUUGGAUGCUACAGGCCACAAAGAGAGCCUGUCUAAAUUACAGUUUGUUCAGACAAAGGUUAUUUUUCUGGGUCAUUGUAAUUACAGCUGAUGGCAAAUCCAUCUCACCCAACAGAGUUAAAGCAAUUUGAAACCUGCCUAAACCGUGCACGUAAAAACAGCUGAUGUUUUUUCUAGGUCUUUGUUCUUAUUGUAGGACCUUCAGUCCUAACUUUACUGUCUUUGAGGCCCCACUCAGGGUUCUGAUGCAGACAUCUUCAUCGUCCACUUCUUGUCUCACGUGGACGUCUGAGGCUGAACAACGUUCACUGACCUCAUGCUUGCUCUUCAGGCUCCUACUUUGGGUCUUCCUGAUCUGACCCUACGCGACCUUUCACUCAAACAGUGGAUGAGAAAUCAGGUUGUACGACUUCUGUUCUUUUGUCCUCAUACUGUCUUUGAUUCUUUUGGAAUAGAUCACAUCUUUCUACAGCCAGAUGGCUUAGAUGCAACACCACCUUGCUCAACAUGCUGAACGUUACUAUCAAGAGGCCGUCUUGAAGUCUGGCUCUUUGCUAAGACACUACUCUGCUCAGGCUGCAGAGUUGAUCACAUUGACUGAAGCUAGUAAACUAACAGAAGGAGAGUCUGUUACCAUCUACACGGACUCCACAGACGCUCUGUGGAAGCAUAGGAAGCUUUUUUGAAGUCUAAUUGCAAACCUAUCUCACAUCAUGAUUAGGUUCUGCUUUGCUGGACGCUGUCCUGCUGCCUACAGCUAAUGCUGUUUUUACAUCAUCAGUGACGACUUUGUUUCUGCCGACAUGCAGCUGCAGACGCUGCUGCGAAGGACGAGAACCCCUCCCUCUCCUGAUCCUCGUUUCCUCUCCUCAUCCUUGUUUCCUCUCUCCAACUCUCUCUAUCCUUUCCUUCCUAUCUCCCUGUGCUUUAAACAUUUUCUACCUCACAGGAACGCAGACUCUGGCUGACGAAUGGUUCCACCUGUAGCCAUGGAGUCUGGUUUGGGCCUGAUGACACGCCGUGCCGCCCAAACACUUUUUCCCCACAAUUCAGAUUUCCCAACAGGUGAAAACAGGCGACAGGACCACUACACCAUCCAACCAGGGCACGGGUGAUCGUUAAGGAGUUCAGGAGGAAGCACUGGAACUCCAAACGGUGGCGAAGCCCCUUCCAGGUCCUUCUGACGACCCACACGGCUGUGAAUAUCGCAGAAAGAGCGACUUGGAUCAACUCCAUCCAGGAAGGUCCCGGAUCCAACAGACGACCCUCCAUCUACAUCUACACCACACGAGAAAUCCACCACUGACGAAAAGAACUGAGAAGGACGACCCUCGCUGUGCUCACACACGCACUGAGGCGAGGCUGCGUUGACCGUUCAGCUAAAGGUGUGAGCCAAGCGCCGCCUGAAGCUGCACCGGUGAAUCACACUAUCAGACCAUACAUCUACACACACGCUCCUGAGAAAACACACACACGAGCAGCCUUGAGUUGCCAACGCUGGACGACGUGUAGACUCUUCACAUCACGGGAGUGACAGUGCCUCAGACGACAUUGGGAGGAAACCUGGCGGUGAUAACGAAUCCCAAGUGUCUCUGUGAUCAGCUGAUCACAACCUGAAGAACCCCAACGAGCAAUCAAUACUUCAACACACAGGUUGGAAACAAUCUAACGCUACUGUUCAACAGGAAGAAGCAGAUUGUUACAAGACAUCAAUUGUAACCUUGUUUUGUUAAACUUCAUUUUAUGUUACAUGGAUUGUUGUCUUUAUCACAUGAUGUUUCUAUGUAACUUUACACACUACUUUUGAAUGAGAAAAUUUCACAUAAUUCACAACACUGAGUUUAAAUAUCCUAAAGUUGAUUUGGUGUUUAAUUUGCUCACAAUCACUUAUUCACUGCUACAAUUAGUUUUUAUCCUUCAUCUACAGAUGACAGAGGUUAUGAGACAAAACGCAUCAUCAUUCUGGUUAAAUCCCUGAAUCUCCUAUUCGCUCUAGACGCAAAUGUACAAUUAAAGAUCCGAAAGCAUGAAAUCUAUCUUAAGAUUAUAUGAUACAGAACCCCACCGGAAACCUAUGGCUAUCAUACAUUAAUUAUCUUUAUUACAUUACAAUUGAAUGGCCGUAGACACGUUGUUAGCAGAGAAAAAAGGCGGUUGUGUUAUGUUUGGAAACGCAUAUUGUACUUACAUCCUGAAUAACACUGAUUCUAAUGGUAUUGUGGCGAAGGCGCUACACGGCCUUCAGAAUCUCAGCUAACUCUGGUAUAGAUUCUUUCCCUUGGAAUUGGCUAGACGAAAUGUCUGGAAAAUGGAAAUCUCAUGUCCGCAGCUGUUUCCUUUAUCACUGAGAUGGCUGUGAUUCUUUUUUUGGUUUUUGCAUUAUCCCACUGGUUAGAGGUCUCAUCAUGCGUGCGACCACAGCAACACUCUUGUAUCAAAUGACACAAUGCACUAUGUUCAAAAACCCCAACUCUAAUUCACGUAAUGACUUUGACAAUGGUCUUAGGCUAUUUGAUCACAAAAUAUAAUCUGAUACAAAUAUGAUUAUGAGCUUAUUUUCUUCACAUGCCAAUACAGAAGUUAUUCUUGUAUAACUACCCACCAAAAACAGCUCCCAACCUUUUGUCCCUAAGUUACUUGCAUUUUAUGUGAAGGUGUAUUUUGAAUCUUGAUGAGUUAAUACCCUUAUUGUUUCAUUUGCAAGGAUCUUUUAUUAUUACAGAAUGUGAUGUUGACAAUUUUUCUUCUUAGUGGUUGAUUAAUGUGUAAUCAAAAGGGGGGAGUGUUAUGGCAAAAAUUGUCUCUUCCUUAUUUCUAUGUCUCUUCCUUAUUUCUAUGCAGUUAUUAUACGAGUUAUGACUUAUGUUCUGCAAUUAAUAUCUUAUGUUUUGUCUUACUGUAUGCAUUUGACAUUUCACCUAGAUUGUUCAAUGGUUGUCUCUGCCUGAUAGACUCUCAACUCUAGCUCCCAAACCCAAGGUCAGGGAGUUGUGUCUCUGUCUGUUGAGACUUGGUGCUCCUUUCUCACAGAUAGUUGGACGUCAGCAAUGCAGGUGUGAGAAUGUAAACAUCUUCACACACACUGCGACAGGGAGGAGAUGGUGCAUGUAAUUUGAUUGGGUUAGACAGACAUUCCACCCUAGUCGGACAGAGAAGCUAAAAGGCAGAAGCAACUUGAGGAUCGUGGGCUCUUUGCAUCACACCUUCGUGGUGUGUGCACUGAUCUCCCCAGCUGGUUUUUGGUUUGUUGAUGUGCACGAUCAACAUCCAUGCUUUUUAUUUGCUUUCCCCAUUAUUUUUAUUUUCUUUAUUAUUUCAAUAAAUCGCACAAAAGGACAA